This 377-nucleotide ribosomal RNA is filed under the name uncultured bacterium. Its description in RNAcentral is "bacterial SSU rRNA". It matches the Rfam family "Bacterial small subunit ribosomal RNA", at positions 103 to 479 of the family's 1533-position model. The record is from RNAcentral.
CGGGUGAGUAACACGUAUCCAACCUACCUCAUACUCGGGGAUAGCCUUUCGAAAGAAAGAUUAAUACCCGAUGGUAUAAUUAGACCGCAUGGUCUUGUUAUUAAAGAAUUUCGGUUAUCGAUGGGGAUGCGUUCCAUUAGGCAGUUGGUGAGGUAACGGCUCACCAAACCUUCGAUGGAUAGGGGUUCUGAGAGGAAGGUCCCCCACAUUGGAACUGAGACACGGUCCAAACUCCUACGGGAGGCAGCAGUGAGGAAUAUUGGUCAAUGGGCGCAGGCCUGAACCAGCCAAGUAGCGUGAAGGAUGACUGCCCUAUGGGUUGUAAACUUCUUUUAUAUGGGAAUAAAGUUUUCCACGUGUGGAAUUUUGUAUGUACC